RNAcentral lists this ribosomal RNA (451 nucleotides) under uncultured bacterium. RNAcentral describes it as "partial 16S ribosomal RNA". It matches the Rfam family "Bacterial small subunit ribosomal RNA", at positions 29 to 523 of the family's 1533-position model. The record is from RNAcentral.
UACGAACGCUGGCGGCAGGUCUUAGGCAUGCAAGUCGAACGGGUGUAGCAAUACAUCAGUGGCGCACGAGUGAGUAACGCGUGGGAAGCUGCCCUUCACUGGGGAAUAACGUUUGGAAACGAACGCUAAUACUGCAUACGCCGGAAACGGGAAAGAUUUAUCGGUGAAGGAUGCGCCCGCGUUGGAUUAGCUUGUUGGUGGGGUAACGGCCUACCAAGGCGAUGAUCCAUAGCUGGUCUGAGAGGACGAUCAGCCACGCUGGAACUGAGACACGGUCCAGACUCCUACGGGAGGCAGCAGCUAAGAAUAUUGGGCAAUGGAGGAAACUCUGACCCAGCCAUGCCGCGUGAAUGAAGAAGGCCUUCGGGUUGUAAAGUUCUUUUAGUCGUGAAGAUGAUGACAGUAGCGACAGAAAAAGCACCGGCUAACUUCGUGCCAGCCGCCGCCGUAA